Molecule: non-coding RNA, 21 nt
Filed under: Caenorhabditis elegans
Lineage: Eukaryota; Metazoa; Nematoda; Chromadorea; Rhabditida; Rhabditidae
Source: RNAcentral
UUUUCUGGUUAUAACCCACCG